This is a long non-coding RNA of Cyprinus carpio (common carp), 1000 nucleotides long. Lineage: Eukaryota; Metazoa; Chordata; Actinopteri; Cypriniformes; Cyprinidae. The record is from Ensembl.
GAUACGUCUGAUGUCAGGCGAGGUUUUUUGUGGUGCUGAUUUUCAUUUCAUGUACGUGCCGCUGACCUGCUUUCACGCCUGUAAACUUGUGAGCAUUACUUCAAAGCAGCUCUCACAUUUUCACCCACUUUAAGAGCGACAGUUUUGCUCUGAGGGGGGUUUAUUAUUCAAGACCCACUCUGUGCCCAACUUAGGCAUGGAUCGACUGUGCAGUAUUAUCCUUGUUCUUUUACACACAGCAGGAGCUUUCAGUAUUGCCCUUGAAGAGAAAGAAACGAACGUCCAUCUGGAACCAAGGCACAUUAAAGUUUGUAAAGGAGCCUCAGUCACAAUGAAGUGCACUUUUCAGCCGAAUGAAAACUACAAAGUGAGCUGGCACUACAGCCAGACAGCUAUUUCAGACUGUAAAUCAGCUUCCAAGAUACCUGAAGAACAGCGUUUUUUAAAAAAGAAAAAAGACGAUUGGUCAACACUCAACAUUACUUUUAUCAAAGCCAAUGAGAGUGGAUGGUACUUCUGCCUGGUCACACAAGACAUCCCAACUCUCAUACAACAUUGCAGUAAUGGAACACAAGUUAUAGUCGAGGACCCCAGCAUCAACACCAGCACCAGAAACAGCACCAGCACCACAGAAUCUCAGACGCUAAAUCAGCCCACAGGAGAUUUACCUACAACCUGUAUAAACAAUGGUAAAUCUAAUGAUACAACAUUCUCUACACCAUUCCCGACAUCACCAUUUGGCUUUACUCAGUGGUGGAUAUGGCUAGCGUUGGCAGUUGGAUGCGUAGUACUUCUGGUAUCAAUUGUUGUCAUAUGCAUCUUGACACGCAAACCUGAAGACCUCAUUUAUGAGAACACCAAACCAGUGGAAUCGAGCUGCUGGAGGCGAAACCGGACUAAGACGGACAUCUGCGACCUGCCUUCAUCCAAAAAAACCGACACCAUUAAACCGCUGAGGAAGUACGACACUCUUUCAAGCAACAGAAUCCGAAGGCCCUAA